RNAcentral lists this ribosomal RNA (253 nucleotides) under uncultured bacterium. RNAcentral's name for it is "partial 16S ribosomal RNA". It matches the Rfam family "Bacterial small subunit ribosomal RNA", at positions 524 to 776 of the family's 1533-position model. The record is from RNAcentral.
CACGUAGGGGGCGAGCGUUGUCCGGAUUUAUUGGGCGUAAAGAGCGUGUAGGCGGCCAGACAGGUCCGUUGUGAAAACUCGAGGCUCAACCUCGAGACGCCGAUGGAAACCGUCCGGCUAGAGUCCGGAAGAGGAGAGUGGAAUUCCUGGUGUAGCGGUGAAAUGCGCAGAUAUCAGGAAGAACACCCGUGGCUAAGGCGGCUCUCUAGUACGGUACUGACGCUGAGACGCGAAAGCGUGGGGAGCGAACAGG